RNAcentral lists this ribosomal RNA (207 nucleotides) under uncultured bacterium. Its description in RNAcentral is "partial 16S ribosomal RNA". It matches the Rfam family "Bacterial small subunit ribosomal RNA", at positions 28 to 232 of the family's 1533-position model. The record is from RNAcentral.
GACGAACGCUGGCGGCGUGCUUAACACAUGCAAGUCGAGCGGUAAGGCCCUUUCGGGGGUACACGAGCGGCGAACGGGUGAGUAACACGUGGGUGACCUGCCCUCAGCUCUGGGAUAAGCCUGGGAAACCGGGUCUAAUACUGGAUAUGACUCCAUGACGCAUGUUGGUGGGGUAGGAAAGCCUUGUGCGGCUGAGGAGUCGGGCCC